AUGAACGCUGGCGGCGUGCCUAAUCCAUGCAAGUCGAGCGAACAGACGAGGAGCUUGCUCCUCUGACGUUAGCGGCGGACGGGUGAGUAACACGUGGAUAACCUACCUAUAAGACUGGGAUAACUUCGGGAAACCGGAGCUAAUACCGGAUAAUAUAUUGAACCGCAUGGUUCAAUAGUGAAAGACGGUUUUGCUGUCACUUAUAGAUGGAUCCGCGCCGCAUUAGCUAGUUGGUAAGGUAACGGCUUACCAAGGCAACGAUGCGUAGCCGACCUGAGAGGGUGAUCGGCCACACUGGAACUGAGACAAGGUCCAGACUCCUACGGGAGGCAGCAGUAGGGAAUCUUCCGCAAUGGGCGAAAGCCUGACGGAGCAACGCCGCGUGAGUGAUGAAGGUCUUCGGAUCGUAAAACUCUGUUAUUAGGGAAGAACAAAUGUGUAAGUAACUAUGCACGUCUUGACGGUACCUAAUCAGAAAGCCACGGCUAACUACGUG
RNAcentral lists this ribosomal RNA (496 nucleotides) under uncultured bacterium. RNAcentral describes it as "partial 16S ribosomal RNA". It matches the Rfam family "Bacterial small subunit ribosomal RNA", at positions 29 to 507 of the family's 1533-position model. The record is from RNAcentral.